Molecule: non-coding RNA, 967 nt
Organism: Microcebus murinus (gray mouse lemur)
Lineage: Eukaryota; Metazoa; Chordata; Mammalia; Primates; Cheirogaleidae
Source: RefSeq, a predicted model, not a curated record
CCGGCCGUCCCGAAACUUGGAGGGUGCAAGGCCGGGUUCCUGCUCUGCGUGCACUGCCUGGUGUGUGUGACCUUGGGCCUCUCUGAGCCUCAGUUUUCCUCUCCGUAAAAUAAGUAUAAUAAUUUCGAGAGCUUCGCGGGUUCCCUGGGGAUAUAAAGGUACUGUUUGUGAAAACACUGGGUAAACUGCCACAUGCCACACAAGUGGCAGCGAAAUAGAUAACCCCAUAACAGAAAGAGGGAUGACUAGGCUGGGGGUGGGAGGACCUUCGCCAAGGUCCCUGAUGGGAGAAGUUAGUCACACAUGCCCUAAGUCCCACCUUGGGAGGUAGAAGACCCCAAGACAACCGGGCGAUGCGAACUGCAAGAAGACUUUCUGAGCCCCGCAAUCCUGCGGUCCGCGGUCCCACACGUUGCUAUGGCGACGGGAGGCAGCGGCCGUCUCUCUCCAUGGCAACGGGAGGGGAAAGUUUCUGGCAACAGGAAUGGGGGGGCAUUUCAAGAGGGCUCCCGGUUGCCGCCGACCCACCUCCCCGCUUCGAUUCAGCCUCCACACUCGGCAGGCGGUUCUGCAGCGUCUCUGAGCCCGGCAGCAACUCCGGACCUGGCAUUUCUCAACCUAGCAGUCCAUGUCUGGAGCAUCCUGAAUCUGCACACCCUGGCCACUCCCCCACACCUCCACCCCCAGCCAGACUGCUCGGAAGCAGGGAGAGGGGCUGGGGGUGGGUGGGAGGCAGAAUAAGAGGAGGUUUGAGGCAGAAACCAGAGGCCUCCCACUCUUAUGCCCUCCUUUCCUCAGAAAUAACCAAAGUGCCCGUCCCCUGCCCCCACCCCAAGUCUCUGCCCUUGAGCAGGCUCCCACCCUGUUCUGAACAGCAAUGUCCUGUUCAUUUAUGCUACAAAUAAAAUGAAUUAAAAUCAAACAAUACUUUUUUUUAAAAAUUGAACCUUGGUAGGAAAUUGCUAAU